RNAcentral lists this signal recognition particle RNA (95 nucleotides) under Roseibacillus sp. RNAcentral's name for it is "signal recognition particle sRNA small type". It matches the Rfam family "Bacterial small signal recognition particle RNA". From Rfam's summary of the family: The signal recognition particle (SRP) is a universally conserved ribonucleoprotein involved in the co-translational targeting of proteins to membranes. Archaeal SRP consists of a 7S RNA and homologues of the eukaryotic SRP19 and SRP54 proteins. Lineage: Bacteria; Pseudomonadati; Verrucomicrobiota; Verrucomicrobiia; Verrucomicrobiales; Verrucomicrobiaceae. The record is from RNAcentral.
CGUCAGGGGCCGUGGAACGGCGGCUGGUGAAUCCCGCCAGGUCCUAACGGAAGCAACGGUAACUUGUCCUCCAUUGCCGCGGCUCCCUGGCACCC